UACGUAGGGGGCAAGCGUUGUCCGGAAUUAUUGGGCGUAAAGAGCGUGUAGGCGGCCAUACAGGUCAGCUGUGAAAACUCGAGGCUCAACCUCGAGACGUCGGUUGAAACCGUAUGGCUAGAGUCCGGAAGAGGAGAGUGGAAUUCCCGGUGUAGCGGUGAAAUGCGCAGAUAUCGGGAAGAACACCUAUGGCGAAGGCAGCUCUCUGGGACGGUACUGACGCUGAGACGCGAAAGCGUGGGGAGCGAACAGG
Molecule: ribosomal RNA, 253 nt
Filed under: uncultured bacterium
Lineage: Bacteria
Description: partial 16S ribosomal RNA
Rfam family: Bacterial small subunit ribosomal RNA
Source: RNAcentral